AUGCCAGAUCCUAAUGCACAGAAUUACAGGCUCAGUCUGAUUACAUUCCCUCUAAUCCUCCAGGUCUCUACCUUCAGCCCUCUGCACCUUCUGUUAAAGCUCUGGGCACUUCUAGGCUCAAACCCCACAGCCAAGCUCUGGAUUUCUGCUCCUGUCUUUGGCCAUAGCUGCGUUGCGUACCAGUACAGUCAGCACUCUCCACGAACAUUCAGGGAAAGGCAGGAGGAGCUUCAGUCAAACGCACAGUCUCAGCAUUCACACUAAGCACUCCAUGUGACCAGAAAGCCUCGUGUGCAAGCCGCAGUCAUACAGGAGCUGAACUAAGGAGCUGUGAUAAAGUGAUGCCAGAAGAAACCUUCUCACAGCACAGCAAAUUCUAACACUUCCAUAAAUCCAAGAAGUCAGCCUGAAUAUAUAGUAACUUCUUAUGUACUUCCAUAAGGUGUUUGUGUAAUAGAUAUCAUACACACUGGUGUUGUUAGCAGAAAGAAAUGAGUCACGUCCAUAUCUACAUCAUACUAUCUAAUUACUAGGCACCUGAUUACUUCUGGCACACCUGAUUUUGCCUAUGCCAUUAGCAUUCACUGAGCAUGCCUUAGGGAUCCUGAUUUUUCUAAUCCUAAAUGUAAUCCUUAACCUCCAUUUUAACUCUCCAAAAUUGUUGCCCUGAAUGCCUCCUGUGAUGCUGUUACUUAUUCAUGGUUAUAGACAGCAUUAUUUCAUCAGCCCAUCUACCACUUACUCUCCUGAUUCUCCCUAUUCAGCAGCUGCUUUGCUUCUUUCCUUUUUCAGUUCACUUGGAAAAGCCUGUAAUGGCUCCCCCACGGAUCCUCACUACUCACCUAUCUCAGUCCAAGCGUGAUGGGUGGAAUCAGGUCUCUUGCUGAGAGCAGUGACUGGUGGUUAUCAUCAGCUGAACUGUGCUUAUGGCAGGUGCUAAAGGUUCACCAGCUUUUGAUUUUUAUCUCCUCUGCUUCUAACUAGAGAGAACCUGUAAGAAAGAGAAAGAAAAAAUGGAAGCCCAAGCUCACACAGACUGUGCAGGUACCUUCAAUAAUACACCAGAACCUACAUCUCAGCAACCAAACAUCUUCCCUGACUACACACACUAGAAAGAGAUGGUGAAAAAAACAAUCACCAGUUAUGAGAAUUGGGCUAAGGAGAGGGAGGGCAGCAAGACAGGCAUUCCAUUUGCCAAGUAGGAACUUAAACUGAUUAGCUUCAAGUAGCCUGGAGUGAAUGUUGACACCAAUUUGACUUAAAA
RNAcentral lists this long non-coding RNA (1264 nucleotides) under Coturnix japonica (Japanese quail). RNAcentral describes it as "lncRNA (ENSCJPG00005008024.1)". The record is from RNAcentral. Lineage: Eukaryota; Metazoa; Chordata; Aves; Galliformes; Phasianidae.